GGGGAAAUAGAGUUGGUUAGAGUGUUGGUCUGUCGUGCCAGAAGUCGCGGGUUCGAACCACGUUUUCCCCG
This 71-nucleotide transfer RNA is filed under the name Triticum aestivum (bread wheat). It matches the Rfam family "tRNA". Rfam says of the family: Transfer RNA (tRNA) molecules are approximately 80 nucleotides in length. Their secondary structure includes four short double-helical elements and three loops (D, anti-codon, and T loops). The record is from Rfam by way of RNAcentral. Lineage: Eukaryota; Viridiplantae; Streptophyta; Magnoliopsida; Poales; Poaceae.